This 768-nucleotide long non-coding RNA is filed under the name Musa acuminata (dwarf banana). RNAcentral's name for it is "long non-coding RNA (MACU_LNC009864)". The record is from RNAcentral. Lineage: Eukaryota; Viridiplantae; Streptophyta; Magnoliopsida; Zingiberales; Musaceae.
CUUAGUUGACUUACUUGCUUGUGUGGAUAGGUAUGAUAGUUUCCAGGUCAAUUCUUUGUAUUAGUACUUUUCGUCUUGUUUUUGCCCAUAGUUCAUAGUUCAAUUGCCGGGUUCGAGUUUCGUUUUCAUGCUCGACGGUGGACUCUUUCUAUCUUACAUCGCAGUCCAAGCCUUAUUGUAUCUGUUACAUGCCAAGCCUUGCUUCUCUUUCCUUAGCCUCGCUUCUAAGCUUUAGUAUACCAUAUCCCCAUCCCUGUCUACAAGCCACUACGGAACUCAAUGCCUAGUGUGUCUCUGCCUCUCCUCUUUAUUAAGGAUUCUACCUUGCCUAACCUUUCCUCAUUUUGGUGUUCGUGAGAUAGAAGAGGUAACUAACCAUGUGCUCCUUAAGUUCCUAUUUCAGAAUUGAGGUUCCUCGGCGCUAACGGUAGCUUCAUGAGCAAGUCCAGUAGCUAGUUUCAAGUCUACGACCAAUGUAAUAGUUAGAGAAUCCACAGUGCUUUUGAAGUCUACAAGAUCCGGAGCUGUACCGUACCAGAAGUCAAAGAAGGAUCAUCAUACAGAGAGGAAGCUUUUGAGUCGUCAGCUACAAGUGCUAAGGAAGCAGCAAUUCCAAUUGAAGUCAGAAAUGCAAUGCCAGUGGAGUUAUCCGAAUCUAAUCCAUUAUUUUUUGAUCGUAGGUGCGUUAGCUUACUUUACAACUUGACUUUCUCCGGGGUGGAUGCCUAUUGCCUAUCAAACAAAUGGAGCAAGGAGUCAGGAGCAUGA